This 71-nucleotide transfer RNA is filed under the name Marmota monax (woodchuck). Its description in RNAcentral is "tRNA.Ala". It matches the Rfam family "tRNA". Rfam says of the family: Transfer RNA (tRNA) molecules are approximately 80 nucleotides in length. Their secondary structure includes four short double-helical elements and three loops (D, anti-codon, and T loops). The record is from RNAcentral. Lineage: Eukaryota; Metazoa; Chordata; Mammalia; Rodentia; Sciuridae.
GGGGAUGUGGCUCAGCGGUAGAGUGCUUGCCUAGCAUGUAUGAGGCCCUGGGUUCAAUCCUCAGUACCACA